GGAUUAGAUACCCUAUUAUUUAAAAUGUAAAUUAGUUUAAAUCUAGGUAGUAUUAGAUAUGAUCUUGAAACUUAAAGAAUUUGGCGGUAUUUUAGUCUAUUUAGAGGAAUCUGUCUCAUAAUCGAUAGUCCACGUUUAACCUUACCAAAUUUGUUUUGUAUGUAUACCGUCGUUAUAAUGAAAAUUUUUGUAGAAUUUAAUAAUUUUCUUGAUUUUAUGUUUAUAAAUAUUUCAGAUCAAGGUGCAGUUUAUAAUUUGGUGAAGAUGGAUUACAUUUAUAUUAAUUAUUGGAUGUAAUAUUGAAAUAUAUUUAUGAAAUUGGAUUUAAUUGUAAUUCUUUAUAUGUUGUGAUAAUGAAAUUAGCUCUAUAAUAUGUACACAUCGCCCGUCACUCUCAUUAUAUUCAAAUUUGAGAUAAGUC
This 421-nucleotide ribosomal RNA is filed under the name Eurycotis pluto. RNAcentral describes it as "partial 12S ribosomal RNA". The record is from RNAcentral. Lineage: Eukaryota; Metazoa; Arthropoda; Insecta; Blattodea; Blattidae.